Molecule: ribosomal RNA, 387 nt
Filed under: Rhinopithecus roxellana (golden snub-nosed monkey)
Lineage: Eukaryota; Metazoa; Chordata; Mammalia; Primates; Cercopithecidae
Description: partial 12S ribosomal RNA
Rfam family: Bacterial small subunit ribosomal RNA
Source: RNAcentral
GCUUAGCCUUAAACUUUAAUAGUCAAAACAACAAGACUAUUCGCCAGAACACUACAAGCAACAGCUUAAAAUUCAAAGGACUUGGCGGUGCUUCACACCCACCUAGAGGAGCCUGUUCUAUAAUCGAUAAACCCCGAUCAACCUUACCACCUCUCGCUUAGCCUAUAUACCGCCAUCUUCAGCAAACCUCAACAAGAGAUAUAAAGUAAGCACAAAUGCCCACGCAAAAACGUUAGGUCAAGGUGUAGCCUAUGAGUUGGGAGAAAUGGGCUACAUUUUCUACCCCAGAAAAUAAUACGACAGCUCUUAUGAAACCUGGGAGUCCAAGGAGGAUUUAGUAGUAAACUAAGAGCAGAGUGCUUAGUUGAAUCAGGCCAUGAAGCACGC